RNAcentral lists this ribosomal RNA (439 nucleotides) under uncultured bacterium. RNAcentral describes it as "bacterial SSU rRNA". It matches the Rfam family "Bacterial small subunit ribosomal RNA", at positions 954 to 1392 of the family's 1533-position model. The record is from RNAcentral.
GCUAAACGCGAAGAACCUUACCCACCUUUGACAUGUACGGAAAUUGCCAGAGAUGGCUUCGUGCUCGAAAGAGAGCCGUAACACAGGUGCUGCAUGGCUGUCGUCAGCUCGUGUCGUGAGAUGUUGGGUUAAGUCCCGCAACGAGCGCAACCCUUGUCCUUAGUUGCCAUCAUUUAGUUGGGAACUCUAAGGAGACCGCCGGUGACAAACCGGAGGAAGGUGGGGAUGACGUCAAGUCAUCAUGGCCUUUAUGACCAGGGCUACACACGUGCUACAAUGGCAGGUACAGAGGGAAGCCAACCAGCAAUGGGGAGCCAAUCCCAGAAAGCCUGUCUUAGUCCGGAUUGGAGUCUGCAACUCGACUCCAUGAAGCUGGAAUCGCUAGUAAUCGUGGAUCAGAAUGUCACGGUGAAUACGUUCCCGGGUCUUGUACACACCG